Molecule: ribosomal RNA, 514 nt
Filed under: uncultured bacterium
Lineage: Bacteria
Description: bacterial SSU rRNA
Rfam family: Bacterial small subunit ribosomal RNA
Source: RNAcentral
GAUGAACGCUGGCGGCGUGCCUAAUACAUGCAAGUCGAGCGAUCGGACUCGGGGUAGCAAUACUCCGAGUUACGGAGCGGCGAACGGGUGAGUAACACGUGAGCAACCUGCCUCAGAGACGGGGAUAACGUUGGGAAACCAACGCUAAUACCCGAUGACCCUGCAGUGGGACAUCCCACAGCAGGCAAAGGGUUGGGCAACCUUCUGCUCUGAGAGGGGCUCGCGGCCUAUCAGCUUGUUGGCGGGGUAACGGCCCUCCAAGGCGAUGACGGGUAACUGGCGUGAGAGCGCGAUCAGUCACACCGGGACUGAGACACGGCCCGGACUCCUACGGGAGGCAGCAGUAGGGGAUCUUGGACAAUGGGCGAAAGCCUGAUCCAGCGACGCCGCGUGGGGGACGAAGGCCUCGGGUUGUGAACCCCUGUUGUUGGGAAGAAGCCGGGCGUUCGCCCGGUGACGGCACCCAACGAGGAAGCCCCGGCUAACUACGUGCCAGCAGCCGCGGUAAGACGUA